Molecule: long non-coding RNA, 8491 nt
Organism: Sycon ciliatum
Lineage: Eukaryota; Metazoa; Porifera; Calcarea; Leucosolenida; Sycettidae
Exons: 31
Source: RefSeq, a predicted model, not a curated record
CUGCUGGAAUGGUUACUACUGCACAUGGUACUGAUCAGGGAAGUUGAGGAAGAGAGGGAGAGUGGGACAGGACGAUAUAUAACACUCCAGUUGUGUCUGUUGGUGGAAACACUUGCCGCACACACCUGCUGUGCGGAAGCCUGCUCGUUCAGUAGAAGUUGGUGGCUUGUCUGUCCGGGAGCCCCGAUGGUGGUUCAGCACGUUGUAUUCAUAAGAUGAACAUGUGAUCAUGCGAUGAAAUACUUUAUUUUUAAGAACACUGUCUCACCAUUUCACAUUUUUGUGGCAGUUUUCACAUUUCUAUUCCAUCACUUGACUAUGGCAUAUUAUGCCUAUGCCAUCACAUGCCUAUGAUGUCAUAAUAUCUAUGGUAUCACUUCAUCAUCCUCGGCGAUUCCUCGCACACGGGCCACGGCUUUGUUGUAGCUUGACUAUGACAUCACCAGACUCCAUUAUCACAUGACUAUGACAUCAUAGCAUGCCAGAAUUCUUUUUAGUUUCAGUACAAUAAUAAUAAUUAUGAUAAGAUAUGUUCUCAGUUCAGACAGUAAAUUGGACAUUGGAGCAGAAACUGGUGGUACGGAUGUUACGCACUGACGUUGAUCAUGGCCAGCAGUCACGUGACUGGAGAGUGAAAAGAGUGAAAGAUUUUCAGAGAUCUCAGCGUACUGGCUGUUCUCUGUUAUUCCUCCGCGGUCAUGAAGCAAAGCUGAGUGGCAUUCAGUAGCAUUCGUCUGCCGGGGAAAAUCACAGGAUUGGAGGGCAAAGAUGGUGGUAGUUGUGUGCCGAACGCUCUAAUGCAAGUAUAUCUGCCAGAAGACUGGAGUGAAGUGAAUAUGUUUGUGUUAUCGAAUCAACAGCAGAGCGGUCGUGCUGUUAUUUCUGCAGCUGUGUAGCAGAUGGAUGUGACUACUACAAGUGUGUGGCUCCGUCCCCAGCCGCAGUGGAGUCGUGUUGUGGCGCGCACUGUGCGUCCCGCGGCUGCUGAUUCCGUUCGGUCCAGGGCAGGAAUAUACACCGCUGCUCAGGUUAUCCCCAGGCCAUACGUCAGUCUCGGGGCAGCAGUCGUAGGUGACCUGUAUCCUGACAACCUCUCGUUGGGUCCCGGACGCCGUGGGACGGCGUUCUCCUUUUCUCUCUCCGUUGCCACUCCGGGCCCACGUGACCCUUGUGGCAGUGGCUCGCUAGGACAGGACAGGACAGUGUCUAUUGCGGAUAGCGUUGCCAGUGUCUAUACUGUUACUGCUGCUUCCUCCAUGGUCAGCUGUGCUGAACAGUGAUCCGUUACGUGUGUGUCAGCGAGUACUCAGAUGAUGGGCAGAAAUCUGGAUGGCAGAGCUGCAUCUUAGUAAGGGGUAUUUUCCGCAGUGGCGGCGUGGUUGCUUUUAUUGCAGCGAGUUUUUCUUCUAAGGUCUCCAUAUGCAAAGUAAUCUGUUGGCUGAUGGACGGAUGCCGGGAUGGUUCAGAAAUGAAAGUUGCAGUUGCUGGUCGAGUUGCUGACAGUGUGAUGCUGCUGUGAUAGAGAUCAUGACUGAUGUCAGUAGCUGUACUAUUCCUCUGCUUCAUCUCUGGUCCUGGGUAACAGGAAUCAGAUGUAUGCAGAUCAGUGACGUUUCUGAUGACGUUAACAAACCUGGAUGAUAUUGCUUCAAUGCAGAAAGCUGUUGUUGCUGUUGUUGGUGAUUCAGAGGAGGUGAUUUCUCGGUGGCAUUCAGUAGCAUUCGUCUGCUGGGGAAAAUCACAGGAUUGGAGGGCAAAGAUGGUGGUAGUUGUGUGCCGAACGCUCUAAUGCAAGUAUAUCUGCCAGAAGACUGUAGUGAAGUGAAUAUGUUUGCGUUAUCGUAUCAACAGCAGAGCGGUCGUCCUGUUAUUUCUGUAGCUGUGUAGCAGAUGGAUGUGACUACUACAAGUGUGUGGCUCAGUCCCCAGCCGCAGUGGAGGCGUGUUGUGGCGUGCACUGUGCGUCCUGCGGCCGCUGCUUCCGUUCGGUCCAGGGCAGGAAUAGACACCGCUGCUCAAGUUCUCCCCGGCCAUACCUCAGUCUCUGGGUAACAGUCCUAGGUGACCUGAAUCCUGACGACCUCUUGUUGUGUCCUGGACGCCGUGGGACGGCGUUCUCCUCUUCUCUCUCCGUUGCUCCUCCGGGCCCACGUGACCUUGUGGCAGUGGCUCGAUAGGACAGGACGGGACAGGGUAUAUUUCGGAUAGCGUUGCCAGUCUCUCUAUUGUUACUGCUGCUUCCUCCAUGGUCAGCUGUGCUGAACAGUGCUCCGUUACGUGUGUGUCAGCGAGUACUCAGAUGAUGGGCAGAAAUCUGGAUGGCAGAGCUGCAUCUUAGUAAGGGGUAUUUUCUGCAGUGGCGGCGUGGUUGCUCUAAUUGCAGCGGGUUGUUCUGCCAUGGUCUCCAUAUGCAAAGUGAUCUGUUGGCUGAUGGACGGAUGCCGGGAUGGUUCAGAUUUGAAAGCUAUUGUUGAUGUUGUUGGUGAUUCAGAGGAGGUGAUUUCUCGGUGGCAUUCAGUAGCAUUCGUCUGCCGGGGGAAAUCACAGGAUUGGAGGGCAAAGAUGGUGGUAGUUGUGUGCCGAACGCUCUAAUGCAAGUAUAUCUGCCAGAAGACUGGAGUGAAGUGAUGUGUGGCUCAGUCCCCAGCCGCAGUGGAGCCGUGUUGUGGCGCGCACUGUGCGUCCUGCGGUUGCUGAUUCCGUUCGGUCCAGGGCAGGAAUAGACACCGCUGCUCAAGUUCUCCUCCGGCCAUACAUUAGUCUCGGGGCAACAGUCGUAGGUUACCUGAAUCCUGACGACCUCUCGUUGUGUCCGGGACGCCGUAGGACGGCGUUCUCCUCUUCUCUCUCUCCGUUGCCCCUCCGGGCCCACGUGACCCUUGUGGCAGUGGCUCGACAGGACAGGACAGGACAGUGUCUAUUGCAGCGGAUAGCGUUGCCAGUGUCUCUACUGUUACUGCUGCUUCCUCCAUGGUCAGCUGUGCUGAACAGUGAUCCGUUACGUGUGUGUGAGCGAGUACUCAGAUGAUGUGCAGAAAUCUGGAUGGCAGAGCUGUGUCUUAGUAAGGGGUAUUUUCCGCAGUGGCGGCGUGGUUGCUCUUAUUGCAGCGGGUUGUUCUGCCAAGGUCUCCAUAUGCAAAGUGAUCUGUUGGCUGAUGGACGGAUGCCGGGAUGGUUCAGAAAUGAAAGUUGCAGUUACUGGUACAGUUGCUGAGAGUGUGAUGCUGCUGUGAUAGAGAUCAUUACCCAUGGUGUUGUCAGUAGCUGUACUAUUCCUCUGCUUCAUCUCUGGUCCUGGGAAACAGGAAUCAGAUGUAUGCAGAUCAGUGAGGUUUCUGAUGACGUACACAUACCUGGAUGAUAUUACUGCAAUGCAGAAAGCUAUUGUUGCUGUUGUUGGUGAUUCAGAGGAGGUGAUUUCUCGGUGGCAUUCAGUAGCAUUCGUCUGCUGGGGAAAAUCACAGAAUUGGAGGGCAAAGAUGGUGGUAGUUGUGUGCCGAACGCUCUAAUGCAAGUAUUUCUGUCAGAAGACUGUAGUGAAGUGAAUAUGGUUGUGUUAUCGUAUCAACAGCAGAGCGGUCGUGCUGUUAUUUCUGCAGCUAUGUAGCAGAUGGAUGUGACUACUACAAGUGUGUGGCUCCGUCCCCAGCCGCAGUGGAGGCGUGUUGUGGCGCGCACUGUGCGUCCUGCGGCUGCUGAUUCCGUUCGGUCCAGGGAGGAAUAGACACCGCUGCUCAAGUUCUCCUCCGGCCAUACAUUAGUCUCGGGGCAAAAGUCGUAGGUGACCUGAAUCCUGACGACCUCUCGUUGUGUCCGGGACGCCGUAGGACGGCGUUCUCCUCUUCUCUCUCCGUUGCCCCUCCGGGCCCACGUGACCCUUGUGGCAGUGGCUCUACAGGACAGGACAGGACAGGACAGCAUUGCCAGUGUCUCUACGGUUACUGCUGCUUCCUCCAUGGUCAGAUGUGCUGAACAGUGAUCCGUUACGUGUGUGUCAGCGAGUACUCAGAUGAUGGGCAGAAAUCUGGAUGGCGGAGCUGCGUCUUAGUAAGGGGGAUUAUCCGCAGUGGCGGCGUGGUUGUUCUUCUUGCAGCGGGUUGUUCUGCCAUGGUCUCCAUAUGCAAAGUGAUCUGUUGGCUGAUGGACGGAUGCCGGGAUGGUUCAGAUUUGAAAGUUGCAGUUGCUUGUCGAGUUGCUGACAGUGUGAUGCUGCUGUGAUAGAGAUCAUGACUCAUGGUGUUGUCAGUAGCUGUACUAUUCCUCUGCUUCAUCUCUGGUCCUGGGGAACAGGAAUCAGAUGUAUGCAGAUCAGUGAGAUUUCUGAUGACGUACACAUACCUGGAUGAUAUUGCUGCAAUGCAGAAAGCUGUUGUUGUUAAUAUACUUGCUGUUGUUGGUGAUUCAAAGGACGUGAUUUCCCGGUGGCAUUCAGUAGCAUUCGUCUGCCGGGAAAAAUCACAGGAUUGGAGGGCAAAGAUGGUGGUAGUUGUGCGCCGAACGCUCUAAUGCAAGUAUAUCUUCCAGAAGACUGGAGUAAAGUGAGUAAGUAGACUUUCUAUUGUUAAUAAUCUGCUAUUUGUUACUACUGGUAACUGUACAAUACUCACCACACAUUAUUGUUUGCUAUUUUCACGACAAGAGAGUAAGGGCCAGGUUCCACUGCGGCUCCGCUGCUCCGCUGCUCAUCAUCCGCGGGUUGAAACGUCAUCAUUACCAUAGUGACCGCGGCUCAAGCUGGAGCAGCGAGGCCACGGCUCACAGCGACCUUUUGCUACGAUUCUUGAUCAAAAACUGAGAGCCGCAGUCGCGGCUCGACCUGUUUCCCGUUACUUUGCACUGUUUUGUACGCAAGAAUUUUAAAAUUCUAAUUUUAUUUCAUUGCUGGCCAGAACACGAGGUUUUUUUGAUUUCGCGGUACCGCGAAUGAAGAGUGUCAGUGGAACCGCGCUGCUCCGCUGCAUGCCGCCAAGUGCCGCGGAGCAGCCGAGCCGCGGAGCCGCAGUGGAACCCGGCCCUAAUGUGAAUAUUGAUUAACCAGAGCGAAGUCAAAUUUGAACAGUGAGUUUAUGAAAGUGGCCACAGUCCUUUGCGAACAUUAUCCACUGUAAACUCCCUGGUUCUAGGAAAUGGCGAAAAUUUAUUGACGCGAAUAUCGGUGUGUUUGCAGAAUUCUAAUUUUACCAUAGUAACAAGUCAGAAAUGUAUUAUGUGAUUAUAGUACUGUAGGGUCAUGAAAUUUGUACCGGCUAGGAUUUCACAACACACACCAUACCGGUAUAUACCGUAAAAUCCCACCAGAGCGUCCCGUCUCUUCCAUGCGCACCUCCCGGACUUUUUGUCAGGGAUGUGAUUGAUUGUAUCCUCGUAUGACUUCAUGAUGCCGUACUGUCCUGCAGACGAGUGCUCGACCCGGUCAUUUUUCCUACUAGUGGUGGUGCUGUUGAUGGUGAUGGCGAUGGUCCCGCAACUGUUGCUACUGCUGCUACUGCUGCUGGCAUUGCUGCUACUGUUGCUGGUGCUGGUGAUGAUCCCGCAACUGUUGCUACUGUUGCUGCUGGUGAUGGUGCUUGUCCUGUUGUUACUGCUGCUAGUGCUGCUAUUUAUGCAACUGCAUGUUGCUGCUUUUUGUUUGUGUUUUUCUUGCUGAAUUUUCCCGUUGCACUGCUACAGAUAUGUUUGUGUUAUCGUAUCAACAGCAGAGCGGUCGUCCUGUUAUUUCUGGAGCUGUGUAGCAGAUUGAUGUGACUACUACAAGUGUGUGGCUCAGUCCCCAGCCGCAGUGGAGGCGUGUUGUGGCGCGCACUGUGCGUCCUGCGCCCGCUGCUUGCGUUCGGUCCAGGGCUGGAAUAGACACCGCUGCUCAGGUUCUCCCCCGGCCAUACGUCAGUCUAGGGGUAAAAGUCGUAGGUGACCUGAAUCCUGACGACCUCUUGUUGUGUCCUGGACGCCGUGGGACAGCGUUCUCCUCUUCUCUCCCUGUUGCUACUCCAGGCCCACGUGACCCUUGUGGCAGUGGCUCGAUAGGACAGGACAGGACAGGCAGUCACUUCCUUUUCUGGCGGAGCUGAGUCUUAGAAAGCGGGUUGUUCUGCCAAGGUCUCCAUAUGCAAAGUGAUCUGUUGACUGAUGGACGGAUGCCGGGAUGGUUCAGAAAUGGAAGUUGCAGUUGCUAGUACAGUUGCUGAGAGUGUGAUGCUGCUGUGAUAGAGAUCAUGACUCAUGGUGUUGUCAGUAGCUGUACUAUUCCUCUGCUUCAUCUCUGGUCCUGGGCAACAGGAAUCAGAUGUAUGCAGAUCAGUGAGGUUUCUGAUGACGUACACAUACCUGGAUGAUAUUGCUGCAAUGCAGAAAGGUGCUUCUGCUGUGGUCUUGCAGGACAUCUUCUAGUUGUGGAAAUGAUUUGUUUGGGUGACUGAACAGAAGACUGUAUGGUUCAUAUUGGAAAGCUGCUGUUUCUGCGGCUGUUAUCGCUGCCUUUGUUGUUGUUGCUGCUGGUUCUGCGGCUGUUACUGUGCCUGCCAUGGCUCAUGUUUCUUCAGGUGCUGUUGUUAUGGUUACCUGUGUUGUGGAUGAUCAGGUUGCUGAUGUAGGAGACCUGAACAUUACUGGCUACUGUUCAUUACUAGAAGAAUGCAGAGGAUUGUCAAGAUGUACAUUGUACAUGUCUAUCUGUUCAGACAGUACACAAGGUGAAUGAAGAUGGAACAUAUCCAUUUCAUCAAUAAUUGUUCUCUUCUCAAUUGUUUUUAUUUUGGUCUUGAAACUUCUACCUUCCUUGUCGGAGAAGUAACGUUGUCCCCCCCCCCCCCCCCCUCCCACCCCUCCCUUAUCACCCCUCAGGGGCGUACAUAGGGCGGUUCCCGGGAUGCCCGGGAACCAGUAAAAAAACUUCGAUAUGGGUACAGAGAAGUUUUUGGUCCAGGCCCAGCGCUCGCAGUGCGCUAUCGAUAGCAGCGCAAGUGCAUGCAGUGCGAGUCCGCCUGACGGUCCGAGGACGGUGACUGUAGCCCAGGUGUGAAAGUCGUAACAGCGUACUGAACUGGGUUCAACUGAACUAGGUACAUCGCCGGAUUCCUCGAUCUCAGAGUCAAAUUUUCCUUUGCAGUUUGUUUCGACAAAGUUGGUCGUGUUUCGAACGAUGCUUUCGCUUUGUGGAAAAGAAAAAUGAAGCGUCGACAUCCAGAGGGCCAGAGCUCUAUUCAGAGCUAUUUUGAGCAGCAGGCCGAAAGCAUGUAGCCAGUGCUAGUGGCAAAGGUCACGCGAUAGAUGAGAAUGCAGACGCACCUGACUUGCAAGCGAAGUCUGCAUGCAACGAGCAGCGCUGCGGAAAAAAUUGUCGGCGAAGCUGUAGAGCGACCGCUGUUGGAAGCUGCUGGAUCAUCCAAUACUUACUUUAGUGACAUGGGAGUGUGUUGGAAGGGAUAUUCUGAACGUCGACGUCCACAGUGGAAUCCAGUUCCCCGAAAUUUGCCGGACACGGAAAAGAUCUCCGUCGUCGAUAAUCAUUGUGCGCCACCGAAGGCGAAGGAUUUCAUUUCCUGUGCGUGUCCAGACGGAUGGGAAACAGCGCCACUUUCAACUAUCCUUGUUAUUAGAGGAGUUACCCUGGGUAGUCUUUUGACCGGCGUGCAAUGGUGGCUUCUGCUUGCCCUGUGUGAUGUUUGCUCCAGAUGAUUGGAAACUUAGGCAGCUUUCAAAACUGCAUGCAACCGUCAUGCUGAACAAAACAUCCAUAAAACGUAAAGUCAAAAGUGCGUAGCAAUGACAUCGUCCAGCAGCUUGUGGAUGUUAAUUUCACCCAGUCUGAGAAGAAGAUGCAGAAACUCCGGCCGUGGGAUACGAAAAAUAGCACUUCAAUUGAAUUUGUGUGGAAUUUUGGUUCAUCAGGUGGCAUGGGAACCACUCCUGGAGGCGAGCGGCGUACGCCCCUGCCCCUCCCCCUUAUCAUCCCUCCUCCUCCCCCCUCCCUUAUCACCCCUCCCCCUCCCCCUUAUCACCCCUCCCCCUAUAUCCUUCCCCAACCACACAUAUCAUUGUGUAUUUUUAAUUGUACACACAGCUAGGCUAGGGAAGUUUUCAUGGUAUUUUCUUGCGGUAAUAACUGCUGGUGACUACUUCAAUUUCACUAGAGAAAUGAAAAGACCCUGGUUUACCGGUACUUGAUGUGUGUGUUUGUUCAUGAUCACAUUCAUACACAAAUACUCGUCUGCGUAUCCAUGUUGCACUAUUAUAACCACUGGCCUCGUUUUUGCUGCUGUCCAUGCAAUGGACUACAUAAAAUUAUUAUUUUCCACUCCAUUCUGCACCCGUUUUCUUCCUACUGUUUCCCAUAACUCAGGUGAUAUGUUAUUACCAGUGAUGUGUUUGACUACUUCUCUUGCCACAUAUAGCUGAUACUAGUGAUAGUAAAACUGGAUGCUGUUCUCCAAUUCAUGAAUGUAUAAUAUUAUCAUUAAACUGAGUACGGUACUCGAGUACUUGUGUAGUUCAA